AUUGCAGUAGUUUCAGUCUUUUGCCCAGGGCAUCAACUAAGAGAUUGUGUUGGGUUAGCUUUGUCUAUACAUACAAAUACAUAUACGGAUCGCCGUCCAUCUCUGUGUAUUUGUUCCUUCUCGUCGUUCCGUAACAGGGAGCUGACACGGUGGAAAAUGGUUAGGACUGUGAAUAGUCACGAUGAAGCACGAUUGUGAGUCUUUUCCCCAAGACGCGAAAGUAGAAGGGAAGAAGGCAAAUGCUGUUCGUUCCAAGCACUCUGAGGCUGAGCAACGACGAAGGAUCAAGAUUAACGAGAGGCAAG
Molecule: long non-coding RNA, 305 nt
Organism: Nicotiana tabacum (common tobacco)
Lineage: Eukaryota; Viridiplantae; Streptophyta; Magnoliopsida; Solanales; Solanaceae
Source: RefSeq, a predicted model, not a curated record